GUAGGUGGCAAGCGUUGUCCGGAAUUAUUGGGCGUAAAGCGCGCGCAGGCGGGUCCUUUAAGUCUGAUGUGAAAGCCCACGGGCUCAACCGUGGAGGGUCAUUGGAAACUGGGGGACUUGAGUACAGAAGAGGAAAGCGGAAUUCCAAGUGUAGCGGUGAAAUGCGUAGAGAUUUGGAGGAACACCAGUGGCGAAGGCGGCUUUCUGGUCUGUAACUGACGCUGAGGCGCGAAAGCGUGGGGAGCAAACAGGAUUAGAUACCCUGGUAGUCCACGCCGUAAACGAUGAGUGCUAAGUGUUAGGGGGUUUCCGCCCCUUAGUGCUGCAGCUAACGCAUUAAGCACUCCGCCAGGGGAGUACGGCCGCAAAGGCUG
RNAcentral lists this ribosomal RNA (374 nucleotides) under uncultured organism. Its description in RNAcentral is "partial 16S ribosomal RNA". It matches the Rfam family "Bacterial small subunit ribosomal RNA", at positions 527 to 896 of the family's 1533-position model. The record is from RNAcentral.